This 217-nucleotide long non-coding RNA is filed under the name Lathyrus oleraceus (garden pea). Its description in RNAcentral is "Pisum sativum (pea) long non-coding RNA (PSAT_LNC036959)". Lineage: Eukaryota; Viridiplantae; Streptophyta; Magnoliopsida; Fabales; Fabaceae. The record is from RNAcentral.
AAAAACAUAUAUGUUUAGUUAAUUUAUUAUUUACAUUCAUAAAAGUUAUAGUGGUCUUUUACUCAUAUUUUAGAAUAAUUUACUUUUACAAAGACACCUGUUUUUUUUUGUAAGGGCGAGAUAUGAUAAUACAAUAUAAUUCUAUUCGACUUUAAUAUACAGAUUAUUUAAUAAUUUAUAUUAAUUUAUUGAUAAGCGAUAGAAAAAAAUGUUAUUG